This 440-nucleotide ribosomal RNA is filed under the name uncultured bacterium. RNAcentral describes it as "partial 16S ribosomal RNA". It matches the Rfam family "Bacterial small subunit ribosomal RNA", at positions 338 to 795 of the family's 1533-position model. The record is from RNAcentral.
CCUACGGGUGGCAGCAGUGGGGAAUAUUGCACAAUGGGGGAAACCCUGAUGCAGCGACGCCGCGUGAGCGAUGAAGUAUUUCGGUAUGUAAAGCUCUAUCAGCAGGGAAGAAAAUGACGGUACCUGACUAAGAAGCCCCGGCUAACUACGUGCCAGCAGCCGCGGUAAUACGGAGGCGGCCAGCGUUAUCCGGAUUUACUGGGUGUAAAGGGAGCGUAGACGGCAUCGCAAGUCAGGAGUGAAAUGCCGGGGCUCAACCCCGGGACUGCAUUGGCAACUGUGAGGCUGGAGUGGCGGAGAGGUAAGUGGAAUUCCUGGUGUAGCGGUGAAAUGCGUAGAUAUUAGGAGGAACACCAGUGGCGAAGGCGGCUUGCUGGACUAUAACUGACGUUGAGGCUCGAAAGCGUGGGGAGCAAACAGGAUUAGAUACCCGAGUAGUC